RNAcentral lists this long non-coding RNA (358 nucleotides) under Brassica napus (rape). RNAcentral's name for it is "long non-coding RNA (BNAP_LNC011425)". The record is from RNAcentral. Lineage: Eukaryota; Viridiplantae; Streptophyta; Magnoliopsida; Brassicales; Brassicaceae.
ACGAAUCCUCCACCUCCUUUCGAUGUCACGCUCGCCGUCCCACCACCACACCACGUUUCGAUCCUCUCUCUCUUUGUUGUUGGGUUUCGAAUCUUAUCUCAUCUCGAUCUGUCGAAUAUCAUUCUCAGCCAAAUCUCCUUUAUCCACACAGGAGUUUCCAGCUUAUAUAGAUAUGUUCGUGUUGUUCUUGGAGUUUGGCUAUUUUCGGGGAAUUGUAGAGGACACAGAGAGAAAUGUCUCUUAUGUAUGGGCUCGAGGUCUCCUUGAAGAUCUUGAGAUUGUAAUUGGUUCCGAUAAGCAAUAAUAUAGUACUUGGUUGCUUAUCAAUUGGUGUGGUGAGCCGUUCGAUCGCUGAGAC